Molecule: non-coding RNA, 1253 nt
Organism: Misgurnus anguillicaudatus (oriental weatherfish)
Lineage: Eukaryota; Metazoa; Chordata; Actinopteri; Cypriniformes; Cobitidae
Source: RefSeq, a predicted model, not a curated record
AUGUUAGCUGCGUCAGAAUUAAGUCCGCAAAUGCGUUUUCAUCUCCCAUUUUUCGCAUUUACUCUUAACAUAAUUCAAAAACCACCUCAAGCGAGCAACAAACUUCUUUGCGAAUCAAGGUAUUUUUAAUCGAAAUUUUGGUCAUUGUGGAAAUCAUGGUGAUGGAAACAUGGCUAAUGACUGCAAGAGCUAGAUCACACGUGCACGUAAAUGCAACAGCCAGAGGAAGAAUCCAUUGUUGGAUCCGGCCAAAGAAUCUUAUCCAUGAAAACAAUAUGUGUUCUAUUCUGCUCUCGCUUCUCUGGGGAUGCAUGACGAAUCGAUUUAUUCAGAGGUACAGCUGAGGCAUUACAAGAUGAAAGACAAACCUAAGACAAAACCGAUCUCCAUGAACUUUCAACCACCCCAGUGACACCUGCAUGAACACACCCUACAGCAUCAACAACAAGGCUAAUCGAUCCAUCACCUGUAAUCCAUCACCUUUCGACUGGACUUCACCGGGUAGUCUUAAAGCUACCCCUGACCUUUGGACCGAUCAAGCAGAGAGGUUUAGAGAAAAAAAGUUUUGCAUGACUUACGUCGGCUUGCCGCAGAUGGAUUUCUUGUACCAGUUCCUGCAUGUGCUGAAGUACUUCUUUUUAGUCCCCAAGACCUGUUGUAAAGCGCACACAUUGGGCCUGAAAAAGACCAGAGGGAGGAGGUGUUGAUAAAUGCAUACUUACAGACAGACUUGCACACCACAGGUGUGUCCAGUUAGACAGGUAAUUAUAUUUCAAUAUAAUUAUAAUUUAGACAAAUUUAAAUAAAUAAUAAUAAUAAUUUAUGCAGAGUAUGUUAUUUUAUAUAAUUAAUGGUAUUUAUUAACAACAAAUACAGAAGUAUCAUGGUAAUGAUCCAUAUACCUCUAUAAUUCUUUUCUUGAAUAGUAAGACAUUUUUCUAAAACAAUAGCAGCUUCAUUUUCCUGACCAGGACUGUGAACAAGUCACACAUGAAUAAAUAAUUUAAUAUCAAAAUUAUGGUUAUAAAUUAUGAUAUAAAUUAAUAAAUAAAAAAAUUCCCAUUACUAAUUAUAUUAUCAACAUGUCACUUUUUUUGCAACAUCCAAAGAGCAUCUUGUGCUACAAUGGAAGCAACGAAAUCUUAAUUUUUAAAAGCAUUAACAUAAUCAAUGUAAGUGAUUUGCAUAUUUGAGUUACAUGAAUAUUCAUAAAUAUAUUUCUUAGUAUUUCAUCAUUUUAAAAUGUCAGUUUC